Molecule: ribosomal RNA, 2026 nt
Filed under: human gut metagenome
Description: bacterial LSU rRNA
Rfam family: Bacterial large subunit ribosomal RNA
Source: RNAcentral
ACUGUGGGUAGCGGAGAAAUUCCAAUCGAACCCGGAGAUAGCUGGUUCUCUCCGAAAUAGCUUUAGGGCUAGCCUUGAAAUAGAUUACCGGAGGUAAAGCACUGAAUUGGCUAGGGGCCGAGAGGUUACUGAACCUUAUCAAACUAAGAAUGCCGGAUAAUCGUUUUUCAGGAGUCAGACAGUGGGAGAUAAGUUUCAUUGUCAAAAGGGAAACAGCCCAGACCCACAGCUAAGGUCCCCAAGUAUAGUUAAGUGGAAAAGGAUGUGGAAUUGCACAGACAACCAGGAUGUUGGCUUAGAAGCAGCCACUCAUUAAAAGAGUGCGUAAUAGCUCACUGGUCGAGUGACUCUGCGCCGAAAAUUUAACGGGGCUAAACUAUACACCGAAGCUUGGGAUACAUCUAAUGUAUGGUAGGAGAGCGUUCUGUAUGGGGAGAAGUCGUAGCGAAAGCGGCGGUGGACUAUACAGAAGUGAGAAUGCCGGAAUAAGUAGCGAGAAUUAAGUGAGAAUCUUAAUGGCCGAAAGUCUAAGGUUUUUGGAGGAAGGUUCGUCCGCUCCAAGUAAGUCGGGAGCUAAGGUCAGGCCGAAAGGCGUAGCCGAUGCACAUACGGUUGAUAUUCCGUAACCAUCUGUAAUUUAAGCAAAGGGACACUUCAAAAGGGUGUGACCCGGGCGUUGGUUGACCCGGGCGUAAGGGACCGAAAUUAGAGUAGGGAAGCACACUUAGCUGAAGGCGAGAAAAGCUUUGCGUAUAGAAGCAGAUGCCCGUACCGCAAACCGACACAGGUGGACAGGAAGAGAAUUCUAAGGCCAGCGGGAGAAGGGUAGUUAAGGAACUCGGCAAAUUGACUCCGUAACUUCGGAAUAAGGAGUGCUCGAAAGAGCCGCAGAGAAUAGGCCCAGGCGACUGUUUAGCAAAAACACAGGUCUCUGCCAAAUCGAAAGAUGAAGUAUAGGGGCUGACACCUGCCCGGUGCCGGAAGGUUAAGAGGAGGAGUGAGAGCUCCGAAUUGAAGCCCCGGUAAACGGCGGCCGUAACUAUAACGGUCCUAAGGUAGCGAAAUUCCUUGUCGGGUAAGUUCCGACCCGCACGAAUGGUGUAACGAUCUGGGCACUGUCUCAACUACCCACCCGGCGAAAUUGUAGUACCGGUGAAGAUGCCGGUUACCUGCGGCAAGACGGAAAGACCCCAUGGAGCUUUACUGUAGCCUGAUAUUGGGUUUCGGAAAUCUAUGUACAGGAUAGGCGGGAGACUGGGAAACAUGAGCGUCAGCUUGUGUGGAGUCGAUGUUGGGAUACCGCCCUUAGGUUUCUGGAAUUCUAACCUGCGGCCGUGAAUCCGGUCGGGGGACAUUGUCAGGUGGGCAGUUUGACUGGGGCGGUCGCCUCCGAAAAGGUAACGGAGGCGCUCAAAGGUUAGCUCAGCACGGACGGAAACCGUGCCUCUGAGUGUAAACGCAAAAGCUAGCCUAACUGCGAGGGUGACGGCCCGAGCAGUAACGAAAGUUGGAGUUAGUGAUCCGGCGGUAUGUGAAUGGAAAUGCCGUCGCUCAACGGAUAAAAGCUACCCUGGGGAUAACAGGCUGAUCUCCCCCAAGAGUCCACAUCGACGGGGAGGUUUGGCACCUCGAUGUCGGCUCAUCACAUCCUGGGGCUGUAUUCGGUCCCAAGGGUUCGGCUGUUCGCCGAUUAAAGUGGUACGCGAGCUGGGUUCAGAACGUCGCGAGACAGUUCGGUCCCUAUCUGUCGUGGGCGCAGGAUAUUUGAGGAGCUCUGUCCUUAGUACGAGAGGACCGGGAUGGACGUACCUCUGGUGCACCAGUUGUCAUGCCAAUGGCACGGCUGGGCAGCUAUGUACGGAACGGAUAAACGCUGAAAGCAUCUAAGCGUGAAGCCGACUCCAAGAUUAGAUAUCCCAUCGUAUAACGAGUAAGACCCCUUGAAGACUACGAGGUUGAUAGGCUGCGUGUGUAAGUGCCGUGAGGCAUUCAGCUUGGCAGUACUAAUAGGUCGAGGGCUUGACCA